RNAcentral lists this ribosomal RNA (253 nucleotides) under uncultured bacterium. RNAcentral describes it as "partial 16S ribosomal RNA". It matches the Rfam family "Bacterial small subunit ribosomal RNA", at positions 102 to 334 of the family's 1533-position model. The record is from RNAcentral.
CGGCGACGGGUGAGUAACACGUGGGUAACCUACCCUCGGGUGGGGAAUAACCUAGGGAAACCUGGGCUAAUACCGCAUCAUAUCCUGGGCUCUCAAGAAUCCGGGAUCAAAGCUGGGGACCCUUCGGGGCCUGGCGCCUGAGGAGGGGCCCGCGGCCGAUUAGCUUGUUGGUGAGGUAAUGGCUCACCAAGGCAACGAUCGGUAGCCGGCCUGAGAGGGCGGACGGUCACACUGGGACUGAGACACGGGCCAG